RNAcentral lists this unclassified non-coding RNA (402 nucleotides) under plant metagenome. RNAcentral's name for it is "partial contains 5.8S ribosomal RNA, internal transcribed spacer 2, and large subunit ribosomal RNA". It matches the Rfam family "Bacterial small subunit ribosomal RNA", at positions 358 to 777 of the family's 1533-position model. The record is from RNAcentral.
GGAAUUUUGGGCAAUGGGCGCAAGCCUGACCCAGCAACGCCGCGUGGGUGAUGAAGGCCCUCGGGUCGUAAAGCCCUUUUCCCAGGGACGAUGGUGACGGUACCUGGGGAAUCAGCCCCGGCUAACUACGUGCCAGCAGCCGCGGUAAUACGUAGGGGGCAAGCGUUGUCCGGAUUUAUUGGGCGUAAAGCGCUCGCAGGUGGUGCGUCGCGUCGUGCGUGAAAGCCCCCGGCUCAACUGGGGAGUGUCGUGCGAUACGGGCGGACUGGAGGCCAGUAGGGGGAUGCGGAAUUCCGGGUGUAGUGGUGGAAUGCGUAGAGAUCCGGAGGAACACCAGCGGCGAAGGCGGCAUCCUGGACUGGUCCUGACACUCAGGAGCGAAAGCGUGGGGAGCGAUCCGGA